This 253-nucleotide ribosomal RNA is filed under the name uncultured bacterium. RNAcentral's name for it is "partial 16S ribosomal RNA". It matches the Rfam family "Bacterial small subunit ribosomal RNA", at positions 524 to 776 of the family's 1533-position model. The record is from RNAcentral. RNAcentral also lists the same sequence under 1 other name.
UACGUAGGAUCCGAGCGUUGUCCGGAUUUACUGGGUGUAAAGGGUGCGCAGGCGGAAUGGUAAGUCAGAGGUGAAAUCUCGCCGCUCAACGGCGAAACUGCCUUUGAUACUAUCAUUCUUGAAUCCGGUAGAGAUCUGUGGAAUUCCGAGUGUAGCAGUGAAAUGUGUAGAUAUUCGGAAGAACACCAGUGGCGAAGGCAGCAGAUUGGGCCGGUAUUGACGCUCAGGCACGAAAGCAUGGGGAUCAAACAGG